Molecule: ribosomal RNA, 253 nt
Filed under: uncultured bacterium
Lineage: Bacteria
Description: partial 16S ribosomal RNA
Rfam family: Bacterial small subunit ribosomal RNA
Source: RNAcentral
UACGUAGGGGGCAAGCGUUGUCCGGAAUCAUUGGGCGUAAAGCGCGUGUAGGCGGCCCGCUAAGUCCGCUGUGAAAGUCCAGGGCUCAACCCUGGAAUGCCGGUGGAUACUGUCGGGCUCGAGUCCGGAAGAGGCGAGUGGAAUUCCUGGUGUAGCGGUGAAAUGCGCAGAUAUCAGGAGGAACACCGAUGGCGAAGGCAGCUCGCUGGGACGGUACUGACGCUGAGACGCGAAAGCGUGGGGAGCAAACAGG